This 468-nucleotide ribosomal RNA is filed under the name uncultured bacterium. RNAcentral describes it as "partial 16S ribosomal RNA". It matches the Rfam family "Bacterial small subunit ribosomal RNA", at positions 28 to 507 of the family's 1533-position model. The record is from RNAcentral.
GACGAACGCUGGCGGCGUGCUUAACACAUGCAAGUCGAACGGAAAGGCCCUGCUUUCGUGGGGUGCCCGAGUGGCGAACGGGUGAGUAACACGUGAGUAACCUGCCCUUGACUUUGGGAUAACUUCAGGAAACUGGGGCUAAUACCGGACAGGAGCCCCUGCUGCAUGGUGGGGGUUGGAAAGUCUCGGCGGUUGUGGAUGGACUCGCGGCUUAUCAGCUUGUUGGUGGGGUAGUGGCUUACCAAGGCUUUGACGGGUAGCCGGCCUGAGAGGGUGACCGGCCACAUUGGUACUGAGAUACGGACCAGACUGCUACGGGAGACAGCAGUGGGGAGUAUUGCACAAUGAGCGGAAGCCUGAUGCAGCAACGCCGCGUGCGGGAUGACGGCCUUUGGGUUGUAAACCGCUUUCGCCUGUGACGAAGCGUGAGUGACGGUAAUGGGUAAAGAAGCACCGGCUAACUACGUG